ACUCCUACGGGAGGCAGCAGUAGGGAAUCUUCCACAAUGGGCGCAAGCCUGAUGGAGCAACACCGCGUGAGUGAAGUAAGGGUUUCGGCUCGUAAAGCUCUGUUGUUAAAGAAGAACACGUAUGAGAGUAACUGUUCAUACGUUGACGGUAUUAACCAGAAAGUCACGGCUAACUACGUGCCAGCAGCCGCGGUAAUACGUAGGUGGCAAGCGUUAUCCGGAUUUAUUGGGCGUAAAGAGAGUGCAGGCGGUUUUCUAAGUCUGAUGUGAAAGCCUUCGGCUUAACCGGAGAAGUGCAUCGGAAACUGGAUAACUUGAGUGCAGAAGAGGGUAGUGGAACUCCAUGUGUAGCGGUGGAAUGCGUAGAUAUAUGGAAGAACACCAGUGGCGAAGGCGGCUACCUGGUCUGCAACUGACGCUGAGACUCGAAAGCAUGGGUAGCGAACAGGAUUAGAUACCCCGUGGUAGGAUAGCG
RNAcentral lists this ribosomal RNA (475 nucleotides) under uncultured bacterium. RNAcentral describes it as "bacterial SSU rRNA". It matches the Rfam family "Bacterial small subunit ribosomal RNA", at positions 335 to 801 of the family's 1533-position model. The record is from RNAcentral.